This 301-nucleotide ribosomal RNA is filed under the name uncultured bacterium. RNAcentral's name for it is "partial 16S ribosomal RNA". It matches the Rfam family "Bacterial small subunit ribosomal RNA", at positions 509 to 807 of the family's 1533-position model. The record is from RNAcentral.
CAGUAGCCGCGGGAAUACGUAGGGUGCGAGCGUUAAUCGGAAUUACUGGGCGUAAAGCGUGCGCAGGCGGUUUUGUAAGACAGGCGUGAAAUCCCCGGGCUCGACCUGGGAAUGGCGCUUGUGACUGCAAAGCUAGAGUGCGGCAGAGGGGGAUGGAAUUCCGCGUGUAGCAGUGAAAUGCGUAGAUAUGCGGAGGAACACCGAUGGCGAAGGCAAUCCCCUGGGCCUGCACUGACGCUCAUGCACGAAAGCGUGGGGAGCAAACAGGAUUAGAGACCCCUGUAGUCCCUGUCUCUUAUAC